GCACUACGGUGCUGAAGUAACAAAUGCCCUGCUUCCAGGAAAAGCCUCUAAGCAUCAGGUAACAUCAAAUCGUACCCCAAACCGACACAGGUGGUCAGGUAGAGAAUACCAAGGCGCUUGAGAGAACUCGGGUGAAGGAACUAGGCAAAAUGGUGCCGUAACUUCGGGAGAAGGCACGCUGGUGUGUAGGUGAAGCCCCUGCGGGUGGAGCUGAGACCAGUCGAAGAUACCAGCUGGCUGCAACUGUUUAUUAAAAACACAGCACUGUGCAAACACGAAAGUGGACGUAUACGGUGUGACGCCUGCCCGGUGCCGGAAGGUUAAUUGAUGGGGUUAUCC
RNAcentral lists this ribosomal RNA (339 nucleotides) under Klebsiella quasipneumoniae subsp. similipneumoniae. RNAcentral describes it as "partial 23S ribosomal RNA". It matches the Rfam family "Bacterial large subunit ribosomal RNA", at positions 1574 to 1895 of the family's 2925-position model. The record is from RNAcentral. Lineage: Bacteria; Pseudomonadati; Pseudomonadota; Gammaproteobacteria; Enterobacterales; Enterobacteriaceae.